Molecule: long non-coding RNA, 691 nt
Organism: Lycium barbarum (goji berry)
Lineage: Eukaryota; Viridiplantae; Streptophyta; Magnoliopsida; Solanales; Solanaceae
Exons: 2
Source: RefSeq, a predicted model, not a curated record
GAUUGGCUAGAUUGAAUAAGUCACUGCACCAUGUUUAUAUCUUUUAUUUUACUUAAAUGAUGUAUUUUAAACGCACUGUAUUUACUUGUUUUUGGUGAGUUAGUUCUAUUUUUAAAUUGAAUUCAGAUACAUGAUAUGCCCUAAAAAAGAAAAAGGGGAACCCAGAAAAAAUUACAAAGAAAUUUAUAUGCCCUACCCAAAUUCCCCCUGCCGCUCACCCAAAUUCUCCCAAAUACCGGUUCCCUCCAAAUUCUAUUUUUCCAUUAAAUCAUAUUCACGCUUCCUAACCCCAUUCACUUCGGAUUCAUGCCCAUGUCUCCUCUCGAAUCUUCAGGGAACUGUUUUUUAGGGUUUAGUUUCGUUCUUUCUCUUUCUUUGUAUCUCUAUUUUAAUCUCUUGUGAAGUACCCAACUGUGAAGUGCGACAAUCAACAGGCAACCUAUAAUUAGUCUCAUGACCUAUUCAGACUUCUAGGCUUCAUUCUCAGAAUCCAAUGCUGUGAAACUCUAAUGAGUUUUUGGACGUUCCUCUCUAUUUUCCCCUCAUUUUUUCUACUUUGGAUUGUAAGUUAGUUGAUCUAUGGUUGUGGUUUUUUUUUUUGUUUGCAAAUGGGUAUUCUUUUCUCGAGGGAUAUGAUUGUUUCUUGGAUCAAACCGAUGAUUCUUUGAUUAAAAGUUAAGAUAUUUUUACU